RNAcentral lists this non-coding RNA (22 nucleotides) under Arabidopsis thaliana (thale cress). Lineage: Eukaryota; Viridiplantae; Streptophyta; Magnoliopsida; Brassicales; Brassicaceae. The record is from RNAcentral.
UACAUCCUUUGUAACGUCCUAC